RNAcentral lists this ribosomal RNA (468 nucleotides) under uncultured bacterium. Its description in RNAcentral is "partial 16S ribosomal RNA". It matches the Rfam family "Bacterial small subunit ribosomal RNA", at positions 28 to 507 of the family's 1533-position model. The record is from RNAcentral.
GACGAACGCUGGCGGCGUGCUUAACACAUGCAAGUCGAACGGAAAGGCCCUGCUUUUGUGGGGUGCUCGAGUGGCGAACGGGUGAGUAACACGUGAGUAACCUGCCCUUGACUUUGGGAUAACUUCAGGAAACUGGGGCUAAUACCGGAUAGGAGCUCCUGCUGCAUGGUGGGGGUUGGAAAGUUUCGGCGGUUGGGGAUGGACUCGCGGCUUAUCAGCUUGUUGGUGGGGUAGUGGCUUACCAAGGCUUUGACGGGUAGCCGGCCUGAGAGGGUGACCGGCCACAAUGGGACUGAGAGACGGCCCAGACGCCUACGGGAGGCAGCAGUGGGGAAUAUGGUACAAUGGGCGGAAGCCUGAUGCAGCAACGCUGCGUGCGUGAUGACGGCCUUCGGGUUGUAAACCGGUUCUGCCUGUGACGAAGCGUGAGUGACGGUAAUGGGUAAAGAAGCACCGGCUAACUACGUG